UAAAAAGCACCGGUGGAAGGAAGGAAGGAUGGAACGUCGAACCAGGCAUGGAAUCAUCAGCGUCAGGUUAGGUUAGGUUCUAUAUUGUUAGCCAUCGAAGCCUUUAUCCUCUCAACUCUUCUUCUUCUUCUUCUUCUUCUUCUUCUUCUUCUUUUGAGCGCAAACAGGUUUUCUUACAUGAAGCCAGCCAGCCAGCCCCUCUCUCCCUCUAAUUUGCUUCGUUUUUGGAAAGGACACCAUAAUCUUCUUUGGUUGCUUCAACCAGCUGGAAAUGCAACCCUGUUUCAAUUGGAUACUUUACUUUACUAACAUGUUAUGGAUGGAUGGAUGGAUGAAUAUGACCUCUCUCAACGAGGAAGGAAGCUUCAUGAAUACCAUUUAUAACUUUGUGCCCUCACUCCCUGAAGGUCAGAUUAACUUCAUCUCCUGUCGCUGGCCUAUUAAGGAUUUCCAAUAUGACACUAUCUUCUUUCUUCUCCUAUAGUAUUUGCCUCAAAUAGUAUUCAAAAAGUAUUCUAUAAGUGUAUCUGGGUUUUUCGAACCAAAAAUUUCCAAACAAUAUCGUUCAGAACUUCGAUUAAAUUUUCUGACAUGUACAUCAUGGUAAUAUUGUUGUUGAUUUUU
Long non-coding RNA from Musa acuminata AAA Group (dessert banana), 624 nucleotides. RefSeq lists it as uncharacterized. The record is from RefSeq and is a predicted model, not a curated record. The transcript is spliced from 3 exons. Lineage: Eukaryota; Viridiplantae; Streptophyta; Magnoliopsida; Zingiberales; Musaceae.